GUCCGAGCUUCUACAGCAAGCGGCCUCCUUCCGGACUCCUACAAUAAUCGGACUCCGUCCGAACUUCUACAAUAGAAUUGAAUUUCAGACUCCUCCAACGAUCGACCUUCCAUAGUGUCCUCAAGACUCCUUCAGUGGACGAACUUCCACAAUGCCUUCCGAACUUCACUAUCGAUCGACUUUCUGCUGGAUUCCUUGUGAAAUCGGACCUCUCCAGCGGAUAGUCUUCAGACG
Molecule: long non-coding RNA, 234 nt
Filed under: Elaeis guineensis (African oil palm)
Lineage: Eukaryota; Viridiplantae; Streptophyta; Magnoliopsida; Arecales; Arecaceae
Description: long non-coding RNA (EGUI_LNC061042)
Source: RNAcentral